CCACUGGCGGCGUGCCCAUACGUUCAGUCGAGCGAAUCGAUGGCGCUUGCCCCUGAGAUAGCGGCGGACGGAUAACACGUGGGUACCUGCCUGUAAGACGGGAUAACUUCGGGAACCGGACUAAUACGGAUACUUACUUUUCUCGCAUGAGGGAAGAUGGACAGAUGGUUCUGCUAUCACUUACAGAUGGACCCGCGGCGCAUUAGCUAGUUGGUGAGGUAACGGCUCACCAAUGCAACGAUGCGUAGCCGACCUGAGAGGGUGAUCGGCCACACUGGGACUGAGACACGGCCCAGACUCCUACGGGAGGCAGCAGUAGGGAAUCUUCCGCAAUGGACGAAAGUCUGACGGAGCAACGCCGAGGUGAGCGAAGACGGCCUUCGGGUCGUAAAGCUCUGUUGUUAGGGAAGAACAAGUACGAGAGUAACUGAUCGUACCUUGACGGUACCUAACCCGAAA
RNAcentral lists this ribosomal RNA (459 nucleotides) under uncultured soil bacterium. RNAcentral's name for it is "bacterial SSU rRNA". It matches the Rfam family "Bacterial small subunit ribosomal RNA", at positions 34 to 489 of the family's 1533-position model. The record is from RNAcentral.